UCCUGUGGGAGGUGGGAGGUGGGAGGGUCCCUUACCGGUGGGUCCGGGGCUGCCCUGCCGGAACCGGACUGGCCUCUCGAGGGCUCACAUGGUCCUCUCUGAACCCCCAGCCCCCAGAGGAGCCAUCGGGAGGGGAGGACGGAGCUGUGGCCGCCCCAGGCCCUCAGGAGACCCAGAAAGCCGUCCCAUCUCCGCCCUCAGUCCUCCAGGCCUGGGUGGCUGUGGACCCCGGAGUGAACAGUCCCGGUGCCUGGCUGCUGACCUGGCUGAGGAAGGGUGCGGCCAAGGUCAUCCCACAGCCCGUCCACGGCCCUGCAGCCUGCUCCGAGGGCCCCG
This is a long non-coding RNA of Pipistrellus kuhlii (Kuhl's pipistrelle), 336 nucleotides long. RefSeq lists it as uncharacterized. The transcript has 3 exons. NCBI's taxonomy places the organism in Eukaryota, Metazoa, Chordata, Mammalia, Chiroptera, Vespertilionidae. The record is from RefSeq and is a predicted model, not a curated record.